GGGAUAAAAAUCCCUAAUAUUAACAAAGAAACUAACUUGUAUUCGCUCUAGGAAUUUUUUAUCUCGUGUAGUAGUAGUUAAGGUAAACUUGAACUAGCUUUAUUGUAUACACGUAGUCGAAACUGAAAGGUUGAUCGAUCACAAUGUGGCCUGAACAAAGCCCAUGACAAAAGUAGCAGCAGUGAGGAAUCUUGGUCAAUAGCCUAACGGCUGAACCAGCAACUUGGAGGAAUGAAAAAGCAAUAGCAGAUUGCAUUUAAUUUAAUGUAGUUACUACUUGGUAGUUUAAAUUUCUAGGUAGAAUUAUGAUGAUGACAUUAUCUAUCUAUUAGUCUUGACCAAAUUACGUGCCAGCAGUCGCGGUAAUACGUAGAAGACAAGUGUUAUUCAUCUUUAUUAGGUUUAAAGAGUCCAAGACGGGUAAUAAAGCCCAAAAUAAAUGAAUACGGGGGACACAUUAACUAGAGUUAUAUGAAAGGAAGCUCUAAGGUACUGUUGAGUGUAGAGAUGAAAUUUUAUGAUACCAGAUGAUUGGCACAGAUUUAUGCGAAGGCAUCUUCUUAUGUAAUAACUGACGUUGUAGGACGAAGGCUUAGAAAGUGAACAGGAUUAGGUACCCCAGUAACCUUGGCAGAAAAUGAUGAAUGUCAUAGGCUGAUUAAAAAUUGGAGGUGAGCUAAGAAAUGAAAGUGUAAGCAUUCCACCUCAAGAGUAAUUUGGCAACAUUGGAACUGAAAUCAUUAGACCGUUUCUGAAACCAGUAGUGAAGUAUGUUGUUUAAUUAGAUGAUACACAAAAACCUUACCACAACUUGAAUAUAUAUAAAAUAUAUUUACAAGCGCUGCACGGCUGUCUACAGUUAAUGUCGUGAGACUAUGGUUAACUCCUUUAAAUUGACGAAAACCCUAAUUUUAUUUAUAAAUAUAAUUAACAU
RNAcentral lists this ribosomal RNA (934 nucleotides) under Sticta fuliginosa. RNAcentral's name for it is "SSU rRNA". It matches the Rfam family "Bacterial small subunit ribosomal RNA", at positions 140 to 1134 of the family's 1533-position model. The record is from RNAcentral. Lineage: Eukaryota; Fungi; Ascomycota; Lecanoromycetes; Peltigerales; Lobariaceae.